AUAAUGUACUGUAAAAGACAAAGUACAUAAACGGUUUUCCUAUUUUCUUAAUGACACAAAUGCUAAAGUGCAGGAUUGUUCGAAGAAGAUUUCAUUAAGAAAUAAUAAUCAUCCUUAUAAUGACAGAUUUAUAGCGUUGAAUUCAACAAGUUUGAAAAAAAGACGAAAGCGUAGUGGCUUAAUUUAAAUGAUUGAAUUAGGUACCCUAAGAAGUCCUAACGGUCUUG
This is a non-coding RNA of Hydra vulgaris (swiftwater hydra), 227 nucleotides long. NCBI's taxonomy places the organism in Eukaryota, Metazoa, Cnidaria, Hydrozoa, Anthoathecata, Hydridae. The record is from RefSeq and is a predicted model, not a curated record.